GAUGAACGCUGGCGGCGUGCCUAAUACAUGCAAGUCGAGCGAACAGACGAGGAGCUUGCUCCUCUGACGUUAGCGGCGGACGGGUGAGUAACACGUGGAUAACCUACCUAUAAGACUGGGAUAACUUCGGGAAACCGGAUCUAAUACCGGAUAAUAUAUUGAACCGCAUGGUGCAAUAGUGAAAGACGGUUUUGCUGUCACUUAUAGAUGGAUCCGCGCCGCAUUAGCUAGUUGGUAAGGUAACGGCUUACCAAGGCAACGAUGCGUAGCCGACCGGAGAGAGUGAUCGGCCACACUGGAACUGAGACACGGACCAGACGCCUACGGGAGGCCGCAGUAGGGAAUCUUCCGCAAUGGGCGAAAGCCUUGCGGAGCAACGCCGCGUGAGUGAUGAAGGUCUUCGGAUCGUAAAACUCUGUUAUUAGGGAAGAACAAAUGUGUAAGUAACUAUGCACGUCUUGACGGUACCUAAUCAGAAAGCCACGGCUAACUACGUG
This 497-nucleotide ribosomal RNA is filed under the name uncultured bacterium. RNAcentral describes it as "partial 16S ribosomal RNA". It matches the Rfam family "Bacterial small subunit ribosomal RNA", at positions 28 to 507 of the family's 1533-position model. The record is from RNAcentral.